Molecule: small nuclear RNA, 174 nt
Organism: Saimiri boliviensis boliviensis (Bolivian squirrel monkey)
Lineage: Eukaryota; Metazoa; Chordata; Mammalia; Primates; Cebidae
Gene: U1
Rfam family: U1 spliceosomal RNA
About the family: U1 is a small nuclear RNA (snRNA) component of the spliceosome (involved in pre-mRNA splicing). Its 5' end forms complementary base pairs with the 5' splice junction, thus defining the 5' donor site of an intron. There are significant differences in sequence and secondary structure between metazoan and yeast U1 snRNAs, the latter being much longer (568 nucleotides as compared to 164 nucleotides in human).
Source: Ensembl
AUACUUACCUGGCAGAGGAGAUACCGUGAUCACAAAGGUGGUUUUCCCAUGGCAAGGCUUAUCUGUUUCUGUAUUAGUCCAUUUUUCACACCACUAUAAGGAAUGCCUGAGACUGGGUAAUUUAUGAAGAAAAGGUUAAUUGACUCACAGUUCUACAGGGCGGGGGAGGCCUGA